UGUCAGACAGUUAUUUUCUUUUGAACACUGAGUUUUGAUUUGUUAUUUAAACUAAGGUUUGAUUAUUAAAUAUUAAAAAAUUUAUUUAACUGUUUGUAAAGAUAUCAUGAUGAGAUGCCUUGUAUGCUUAUGGAAAAAGUAUUCUAUAAGUAUGCGGCGGUUGCCAUGACCCUCGAUUCAAAUCUCGGGUCGGGGGCGUGACAAUUAAUAUGGUAUCAGAGCAUAAGUAGAUAGAUAGAGACAUGUAGAAUAGAGUGAGAGAGUGAUGGGUAGACAUUAGGAAAUUGAAAGGUUAGUUACGAUGAUUAUGAUUUGACUUGUCACAAGUUAUAACCUUAUUAAGGAUAAGUUAUUAUCUCAAAUCUAACAUAGGCCAUUAUGCCUCCACGACGAGCGAGGAAUACUCAAGGAGCGGUAGGAGGGACAUCAAAUCCACCUGGCGAUAAUACUCCCCAAUUAAACAGCGGCACAACUCAGCAGGAGGGAAUCCUUGAUCCUACCGAAAAUACUCCGACAGUACAGGAGGAGCCGAACAUGACUCAACUAAUGCAAACUCUGAUCGGAGUAGUUCAAACACAGCAACAGUUACUUCAACAACAACAUGCACAGUCACGUAAGCAUUUUCCACCGAUACUUGGACAUGGAGAACAUCCGAUGCAGAGAAACAAUAUCAUCAAAUUUAAGAAGCUAGCUCCUCCAGCCUUCAAAGGGACC
RNAcentral lists this long non-coding RNA (714 nucleotides) under Elaeis guineensis (African oil palm). RNAcentral's name for it is "long non-coding RNA (EGUI_LNC021988)". Lineage: Eukaryota; Viridiplantae; Streptophyta; Magnoliopsida; Arecales; Arecaceae. The record is from RNAcentral.